GCUGGGUGUGGUGGUGUGCGCCUGUAAUCCUAGCUACUCAGGAGGCUGAGGCAGGAGAAAUGCUUGAACCCAGGAGGUGGAGGUUGCAGUGAACUGAGAUCACGCCACUGUACUCCCACCUGGGUGACAGAGCAAGACUCUGUCUCAA
Molecule: unclassified non-coding RNA, 148 nt
Organism: Papio anubis (olive baboon)
Lineage: Eukaryota; Metazoa; Chordata; Mammalia; Primates; Cercopithecidae
Rfam family: Metazoan signal recognition particle RNA
About the family: The signal recognition particle (SRP) is a universally conserved ribonucleoprotein. It is involved in the co-translational targeting of proteins to membranes.
Source: Ensembl